This 113-nucleotide ribosomal RNA is filed under the name Eleutherodactylus atkinsi (Atkin's robber frog). Its description in RNAcentral is "partial 16S ribosomal RNA". The record is from RNAcentral. Lineage: Eukaryota; Metazoa; Chordata; Amphibia; Anura; Eleutherodactylidae.
CUAAAAACCUAGCCUAAUAGCUAUUUAUAAUAUUAAACCAUAAAUCAAAAUAUUUUAAUUAUUUAGUAAAGAAGAUUAAAAAAUUUAUUAGAGCCAUAAAUAUGUACCGCAGG